Molecule: ribosomal RNA, 273 nt
Filed under: uncultured bacterium
Lineage: Bacteria
Description: partial 16S ribosomal RNA
Rfam family: Bacterial small subunit ribosomal RNA
Source: RNAcentral
UACGUAGGUCACAAACGUUGUCCUGAUUUAUUGGGUUUAAAGGGUCCGUAGGCGGAUCUGUAAGUCAGUGGUUAAAUCUCAUAGCUUAACUAUGAAACUGCCAUUGAUACUGCAGGUCUUGAGUAAGGUAGAAGUAGCUGGAAUAAGUAGUGUAGCGGUGAAAUGCAUAGAUAUUACUUAGAACACCAAUUGCGAAGGCAGGUUACUAUGUCUUAACUGACGCUGAUGGACGAAAGCGUGGGGAGCGAACAGGAUUAGAUACCCCUGUAGUCC